RNAcentral lists this small nuclear RNA (160 nucleotides) under Rhodnius prolixus. Its description in RNAcentral is "U2 spliceosomal RNA". It matches the Rfam family "U2 spliceosomal RNA". From Rfam's summary of the family: U2 is a small nuclear RNA (snRNA) component of the spliceosome (involved in pre-mRNA splicing). Complementary binding between U2 snRNA (in an area lying towards the 5' end but 3' to hairpin I) and the branchpoint sequence (BPS) of the intron results the bulging out of an unpaired adenosine, on the BPS, which initiates a nucleophilic attack at the intronic 5' splice site, thus starting the first of two transesterification reactions that mediate splicing. Lineage: Eukaryota; Metazoa; Arthropoda; Insecta; Hemiptera; Reduviidae. The record is from Rfam by way of RNAcentral.
GCCGCUUCCCAGCUUUUUGGCUCAGCGGAGUAUCUGUUCUUAUCAGAAUAAUCUCUGGUACAGACUCCUUUUGAGAUUUAACUUGAGAUUAAGUUGAUUUUUUGGAAAAUGAUGGAGUGCUGGGCGCUUGUUCCAGCUCUGGUGAAGUUGACUAUAGUUU